GGGUGGUUAGCUCAGCGGUAGAGCACUGUCCUCACACGACAGGGGUCACAGGUUCAAACCCUGUACCACCCACCA
Molecule: transfer RNA, 75 nt
Filed under: Elusimicrobiales bacterium
Lineage: Bacteria; Pseudomonadati; Elusimicrobiota; Elusimicrobia; Elusimicrobiales
Also listed under: 1 other name
Description: tRNA-Val
Rfam family: tRNA
About the family: Transfer RNA (tRNA) molecules are approximately 80 nucleotides in length.
Source: RNAcentral